RNAcentral lists this long non-coding RNA (720 nucleotides) under Dendronephthya gigantea. RNAcentral's name for it is "uncharacterized LOC114541863, transcript variant X2". The record is from RNAcentral. Lineage: Eukaryota; Metazoa; Cnidaria; Anthozoa; Malacalcyonacea; Nephtheidae.
GCUAUGUCUGGCCUGAUUUUACUAGAACUUUGUAUUGUAUUCAUAUAACUAAUAAUUAUUCUGAUCUAUAUUUAAAAUGCAAAUUUCUAUUCUAUAAGUUAAUUGAUAAUAUCCAUGCGGGGAAACAUAUGAAACAAUAACAUGCUCGAUGGAUGAUGAAUUAGGCGUUCAUGCCUGUCAUGCAGAAGUUCUUUCAAUAUAAAAAGGAAGAAACUGAUUAUGUGUUCUUCCUGUUUUAAUUGUAAACAAAGACAGACCUGUAUUCGUGUUCAUGUUCUAGAUGAAUGCAUGCACGCGGUUUCUCGCCUGCUGUAACAAGCAUCACGUAUAACGCCUAUUUAUAGUAUGACGAGGAUCUUAUAAAAGGCCAAAUGAAAUUAGUUCAUUGUUCACACAACGCAUUAUUCAGUCAAAUUUUCCUUUAAACAAAUUAAGCAGAAGAGUGUAAAAUUCAGCUAACCCAGAGGGAAAGUAAUGAGUCACCGAAAAUCAACAAUCACCCUUUUUCUAGCAGUUGGAAUGCUGAUACUGAGCAGUUUGAUUGAUGCGGAUAUGUUUCUGCACAACCCCAGAGGCUCCAACAACCGCCUGAAUGGAAAUACUGCUAAUCGAAAGAAUAAUAAUCGAAUGUUCGAUUCUCAGAACAACGCCAAAGGUGGUUACAAUGUUGGUGAUAAAACUGCUUCAGCAUCGACCAGCGAAGACACGCAAUUUAACAUG